This 76-nucleotide transfer RNA is filed under the name Trueperaceae bacterium. Its description in RNAcentral is "tRNA-Phe". It matches the Rfam family "tRNA". From Rfam's summary of the family: Transfer RNA (tRNA) molecules are approximately 80 nucleotides in length. Their secondary structure includes four short double-helical elements and three loops (D, anti-codon, and T loops). Lineage: Bacteria; Thermotogati; Deinococcota; Deinococci; Trueperales; Trueperaceae. The record is from RNAcentral.
GGCCAGAUAGCUCAGUCGGUAGAGCAUGCGACUGAAAAUCGCAGUGUCGGCAGUUCGAUUCUGCCUCUGGCCACCA